This 73-nucleotide non-coding RNA is filed under the name Anaeromicropila populeti. Lineage: Bacteria; Bacillati; Bacillota; Clostridia; Lachnospirales; Lachnospiraceae. The record is from RNAcentral.
GAAAGCCGUAUGCGGGAAAACCGCACGUACGGUUUGAUGAGGGGGCGGUGGCAAUCCCACUGCUCUACUCUAU